This 491-nucleotide ribosomal RNA is filed under the name uncultured bacterium. RNAcentral describes it as "partial 16S ribosomal RNA". It matches the Rfam family "Bacterial small subunit ribosomal RNA", at positions 29 to 506 of the family's 1533-position model. The record is from RNAcentral.
AGUGAACGCUGGCGGUAGGCCUAACACAUGCCAGUCGAACGGCAGCACAGUAAGAGCUUGCUCUUACGGGUGGCGAGUGGCGGACGGGUGAGGAAUACAUCGGAAUCUACUUUUUCGUGGGGGAUAACGUAGGGAAACUUACGCUAAUACCGCAUACGACCUACGGGUGAAAGCAGGGGAUCUUCGGACCUUGCGCGAUUGAAUGAGCCGAUGUCGGAUUAGCUAGUUGGCGGGGUAAAGGCCCACCAAGGCGACGAUCCGUAGCUGGUCUGAGAGGACGGUCAGCCACACUGAAACUGAGACACGGUCCAGACUCCUACGGGAGGCAGCAGUGGGGAAUAUUGGACAAUGGGCGCAAGCCUGAACCAGCCAUACCGCGUGGGUGAAGAAGGCCUGCGGGUGGUAAAGCCCUUUUGUUGGGAAAGAAAAGCAGCAGGUUAAUACCCCGCUGUUCGGACGGUACCCAAAGAAUAAGCACCGGCUAACUUCGU